UUAUAAGACGAGAAGACCCCAUGGAGCUUUAAACCCAAUUAUAUCUCUAACCACUAUAACCAUUUAACCACUUAGAACUUAUAUACUUGGUUUUAGGUUGGGGCGACCACGGAGCACAACCAAACCUCCACGAUGAACGGAACAACCCCCUUAUCUGAGAAUUACACUUCUAAGAAUUAGCACACUAACAUAAAAUGACCCAUUAUUGAUCAACGAACCAAGUUACCCUGGG
This 232-nucleotide ribosomal RNA is filed under the name Mantidactylus catalai. RNAcentral describes it as "partial 16S ribosomal RNA". Lineage: Eukaryota; Metazoa; Chordata; Amphibia; Anura; Mantellidae. The record is from RNAcentral.